RNAcentral lists this long non-coding RNA (1060 nucleotides) under Citrus maxima (pomelo). RNAcentral's name for it is "long non-coding RNA (CMAX_LNC004083)". The record is from RNAcentral. Lineage: Eukaryota; Viridiplantae; Streptophyta; Magnoliopsida; Sapindales; Rutaceae.
UUUUCUCUUUUAAGGUACUGUUUUUUUUUUAAAUAUUUUUCACUUUUAAUAUCAUUUUAAGAUAUUGUUUCAAACUUUUAGAGAUUUUUUAAAAAAUAUUUUAUAAUAUGGUGAUGAUUUUAUUUUAAGUCUUUAAUUUUUAAUUUACCGAAAUUAUGUAUCUAUACCUGUUAUAAAAUAGGUAAAUGGAGAAUGGAGUGAGGAUGAGGGAAUCAUUCUCCACGUGAGGAUUUCCCAUCUCCACCUCACUAAAUUUAUUGGGGAAUGGGGUGGGGAUGGAGGCAAAAAAUUUUAAUGGGGUGGGGAAUGGAGUAGGCCUCCCCACCCCAUUGCCAUCCCUAUAUUUGUUGUUAUAUUACUCUCUGAGAGAGAGGGAAGCCAUCUAAGUUGCCUUGAGCUUCAAUUGUAUUUGAACUUGAUGCUAGCGGCCAUAUCUGCUUCCGAGGGUAAAGUUGGGCAGUCAGGCGGCCGUAUAGUAACUGUAUAUCUUUGACUAAAAAAAAAAAAAAUGAUACUGAUAAUUUUUCCUGAAAAGCAGCUUUGUUGAUGAUCAUCGAUGUGAAUACAAUUGUUCUAAAUAUGUUCUACUUCGUAUGGAGUGGGAACUGGGAAGCUUUUCAACUCAUGCUGCUGAGGAUAAGACGUCAAUGUACCAUGUUUGUGUUUAAUCACCUGUAACAACUAAGGAGAAUGUCUCUAAUACAUUUCUUUCUAUUUCUAUUAUUUUAACCAUUCAAAGAUCGGGCCAUAAAUUGAUUUCUUUUAAAUUUUCACAUUAAUAGAUGGGGGCAUAAAUUGAUGAACCUACCCAUUAUUUGUUCAAUGUACCAUGUUUGUGUUUAAUCACCUGUAACAACUAAGGAGAAUGUCUCUAAUACAUUUCUUUCUAUUUCUAUUAUUUUAACCAUUCAAAGAUCGGGCCAUAAAUUGAUUUCUUUUAAAUUUUCACAUUAAUAGAUGGGGGCAUAAAUUGAUGAACCUACCCAUUAUUUGUUUCCAACAAGUGGUUCCGGUGGGGUUCAUCACUGGGAACAAUGACCAUUCCUCUGCAUUCAUGCGC